Molecule: ribosomal RNA, 484 nt
Filed under: uncultured bacterium
Lineage: Bacteria
Description: partial 16S ribosomal RNA
Rfam family: Bacterial small subunit ribosomal RNA
Source: RNAcentral
AUUGAACGCUGGCGGAAUGCUUUACACAUGCAAGUCGAACGGCAGCACGGGGGCAACCCUGGUGGCGAGUGGCGAACGGGUGAGUAAUACAUCGGAACGUGCCCGGUCGUGGGGGAUAACGUAGCGAAAGUUACGCUAAUACCGCAUACGAUCUGAGGAUGAAAGCGGGGGACCUUCGGUCCUCGCGCGAUCGGAGCGGCCGAUGUCAGAUUAGGUAGUUGGUGGGGUAAAGGCCUACCAAGCCGACGAUCUGUAGCUGGUCUGAGAGGACGACCAGCCACACUGGGACUGAGACACGGCCCAGACUCCUACGGGAGGCAGCAGUGGGGAAUUUUGGACAAUGGGCGCAAGCCUGAUCCAGCCAUUCCGCGUGCAGGACGAAGGCCUUCGGGUUGUAAACUGCUUUUGUAUGGAACGAAAAGGCUCUGGCUAAUACCUGGGGCUCAUGACGGUACCGUAAGAAUAAGCACCGGCUAACUACGUG